Non-coding RNA from Kogia breviceps (pygmy sperm whale), 3135 nucleotides. NCBI's taxonomy places the organism in Eukaryota, Metazoa, Chordata, Mammalia, Artiodactyla, Physeteridae. The record is from RefSeq and is a predicted model, not a curated record.
UCUGCCGCCCGCCCGGCCUUCGCGAGCUCUGAAGCUGCCGGCUCGCCAGAGACGCCAUGUACCGGCUCCUGGCAGCCGUGACAACCCGGGCCGCGACCCACGGGAGCUGCGCCUCGGGCUGCGGGCGGCGUGCAGCUCACCAGCGCGCCGGGCCGCCGCCGCUAGGCCCCGGCUGGGUCGGGGGCCUCGGGCUGGGUCUAGGGCUGGCGCUCGGGGUGAAGCUGGCCGGCGGGCUGAGGGGUGCGUCCCCCGCGCCGCCCACCGCGGCCCCAGACCCCGAGACGCCGCCUCAGGCCGAGCCGCCGCUGCCGCCGCAGGAGCAGCCCCUCGCCCAGUGGUCUCCGCAGACCCCGACGCCGCUGCACUCCAGGAGCUUUGCCAGAGCCAUCGACCGCAGCCGCGACCUCCUGCACAGGAUCAAGGAUGAGGUGGGCGCACCGGGCAUUGUGGUUGGAGUCUCUGUAGAUGGAAAAGAAGUCUGGUCAGAAGGUUUAGGUUAUGCUGAUGUUGAGAACCGUGUACCAUGCAAGCCAGAGACAGUUAUGAGAAUUGCCAGUAUCAGCAAAAGCCUCACCAUGGUUGCUAUUGCCAAAUUGUGGGAAGCAGGGAAACUGGAUCUUGAUAUUCCAGUACAGCAUUAUGUUCCUGAAUUCCCAGAAAAAGAAUAUGAAGGUGAAAAGGUUUCUGUCACAACAAGAUUAUUGAUUUCCCACUUAAGUGGAAUUCGUCAUUAUGAAAAGGACAUGAAAAAGGUGAAAGAAGAGAAAGCUUAUAAAGCCUUGAAGAUGAUGAAAGGGACGAUGGAAUCUGACCAAGAAAAAGAGUUAAAAGAAAAAGGAGGCAAAAGUAAUGAAAAGAAUGACUUUGCUAAAGCUAAGAUAGAGCAAGAUAAUGAAGCCAAAGGCCGAAAUUCAAAACCUUGCAAGAAAAAGAAUGAUUUUGAACAAGGCGAAUUAUAUUUGAAAGAAAAAUUUGAAAAUUCAAUUGAAUCCCUAAGAUUAUUUAAAAAUGACCCUUUGUUCUUUAAACCUGGUAGUCAGUUUUUGUAUUCAACUUUUGGCUAUACCCUAUUGGCAGCCAUAGUAGAAAGAGCUUCAGGAUAUAAAUAUUUGGACUAUAUGCAGAAAAUAUUCCAUGACUUGGAUAUGCUGACAACUGUGCAGGAAGAAAAUGAGCCAGUGAUUUACAAUAGAGCAAGAUUUUAUGUUUACAAUAAAAAGAGACGUCUUGUCAACACACCUUACGUGGAUAACUCCUAUAAAUGGGCUGGUGGUGGAUUUCUGUCUACAGUAGGUGACCUUCUGAAAUUUGGGAAUGCAAUGCUCUAUGGUUACCAAGUCGGGCUGUUUAAGAACUCAAAUGAAAAUCUUUUACCUGGAUAUCUCAAACCAGAAACAAUGCUUAUGAUUUGGACACCAGUGCCUAACACAGAGAUGUCAUGGGAUAAAGAGGCACAGACCACAGAGCGAACUGUUUGGAGCUGCCAAGGAGGUGACAUUUACAUUGGGAGAGGAGGAAAGAGCAUUGUCUGGGUUGUCCGGGAGAAGUGCAGCGUGACUGAACUGUCUGUGCGGGAAGAGCCACGAAGUGUGAAGAGCCCUGUGAAGUUAGUGAAUGUGCAUUAUGAGCAGGAGGUGGUGUCUGUUUCUACACUCCCUUGAACCUGAGGUGGCCUUUUGACUUGCUUUGACCCAGAGAACGUGGUGGAAAUGAUGUUGCACAAGUUCCAGCGCUUAGGCUUCAAGAGGCCAUCAAACUUCCAUCUUCACGCUCCAAGAACACUGCCCCCAAGACGGCCAUGUAAGGAAACCAGACUACCUUACUGGAUAACCCAGCUGACAGCCAGUACCAGACAUGUGACUGAAGCCAUCUUGGACCUUCCAGUCCAGUUGAGCCUCCAUGUAUGAGUGAGCCCAGAUUUUUCCAAGGUUCCUAAACUGUGCAAGCUGAGGUGGCUUGGAGCAUCAUGGGAGAAACAUUGAUACUUGACAUCUUUUGGAUACCAUGCAAACUUCUAGUUCCAGGUAAUUGUUACAUUAGCACCACAUUCCCUUUGAUGAUGUAUCUUUGUGAAGCUGGGUUUUGGGCCAUUGCUGUGAUAAAAAGCUAGUACCAUGCAAAAAUCAACGUGAAAAGAAUGAGGAUGGCAGUGUCCAACAUGAUCCCAAUUUUGAGAAACUGCAGUGCCCAAAAGGCACACUCAUUCCAUUAGUAGGUAAUUUAAGAAUAAGGUAAAAAUUAUCACUUUGCUUUUAAUUUAUGUGUUCUUCUUUUUCAAAUUGCUACUACAGUUGCUAGAACCUAACUACUUAAUAAAUUUAACUGUUAGGUAUUUCUUUUGGCCAGGGGACUCCAUGAAAAAAUUACUGAGACUAAAGAUGCCAUAAACCAAGAAAGUUUGGGAAGCUCUGAGUUAUUUAUUUCUCCAUAUAUUAAAUACGCUCCAAACUUUCCAUAGUUCUUCAGUUCUCACACAACAUUCCUCUGAUAUACCAAUCAGUAUGUUAAAGGAUCAGUCUCUCGGAUUGGGGGUGUAUAUGUCGGAACACCUCUUGAUAGGAAAUGAUUGUCUUCAGUGCCUGCCUUAAAGGUAACAGGUAGAAGAGAAGCAGUUAUCUUCCCAGUCUAAUGAGCAGUCAUAUAGGUGCUAGAGAGGGAAAGAUAUACUCUACCCCCUAACUCCCGAGCGUCACUUCAUAAACCAUAAAAGUGACAAUAAGACAACAGAACCACUCAACACAUUUUUCAGUUAGGAGUGCUCACCUGUCUGGACCAGAAAAUUCAAUACUAUCUACUGCCCCCUGCCAGAACAUCCCGGGUAAAUCAUGCUACUCCUGAUUCCUCCUCUCAAAUUUUCUACCCCCAAAAGAGCUUUCUACAACUCAGAGCCCAGCUGCAGUUACUGUACUGAAGUAUACAGUAUGUUAUGGGCAUAUAAAUCCAAGGCAUUACACUGUGAUUGUUACUGCAUUAAAUAUGUACUUCUAUAAAUGUUUCCAUAGUUAUAAUACCAAAACUAUAAUUAGAAUUAUAAAUAAUGAACUUCUUUCCAUUUGUAAUCAUUUAGCCCCCUCACAGAAAUAUGGAAAAGGACUGAAAAUCAAAUAUUUAAAGUUUCUACUCCUGAAGCAAGAC